CUCUCGCUCAAAAAAUCGCCAUUCGAAGCUUACAAACAGAGACAUUGCGAUUUAUCGCAGCGUCUCGCAUUCUUUCUGGCUUUGGGAGAAAGUCCCCGGACAUCUUCGUUUCGACGGAGCUUGCGGAAACGCGCCGCCAUAGAAGCACAGCGGCUGACUUCUGCACCCAGGCCUGCGCCCUGCACCGGCCCUGCCCUCCGUUACAUCAAUUUGUUAAAGGCUCUGAAUCGCGUUCUCUGCCGCUCUCGGCCCCCUUGGAUGAAGAUAUGAGUCCGCUGCCGAGAGAUUGGUGUGUUUCGAGACAGACGAGUCGUCUGGCAAGUUGAUGGUUGGCAGACGCUUGGUGCUCGCGCGUGUGGUAUCGGGUCGCUGAGGAUUUUUGUCGAGAUUGAUAGGUAUGCGAUUGCUCGGCGAAAGCUGGGUUACUCGAUGGGGCUCAUUCUUGAUGCGAGG
RNAcentral lists this RNase MRP RNA (453 nucleotides) under Fusarium verticillioides 7600. RNAcentral's name for it is "rNase MRP". It matches the Rfam family "RNase MRP". Rfam says of the family: RNase MRP is an enzymatically active ribonucleoprotein with two distinct roles in eukaryotes. In mitochondria it plays a direct role in the initiation of mitochondrial DNA replication. In the nucleus it is involved in precursor rRNA processing, where it cleaves the internal transcribed spacer 1 between 18S and 5.8S rRNAs. Lineage: Eukaryota; Fungi; Ascomycota; Sordariomycetes; Hypocreales; Nectriaceae. The record is from Rfam by way of RNAcentral.